UGCAGAAGUAGAACCACCCAGUUCUAAUGUUUUCACUGCUAAUACAAACAGACCCUUCAUAUGAACAAGGGUUGCUGUUUGGUGUGUGCGUGUUCAAGCAGUCCACUAAAAUGUUGUUGGAACUGAUCCUCUUUUUCUUUCCAUCUUUUUAUCACUCAUGUUGUGUGCUGGCUUUCAAUCAUUAUACCAUUAAAACAGUGGCAGCACAGAAAUCAAAGUUGGCUACUUGCAGAGGGGGACCAACGAUUCUAGUAAACACUGAGAGAAAAGGCUCAAGGCGCCAAUAUGACCGAAAAGGAAAAAGAAAAAAAGAAGACAAGUGGCAGAAAAAGCCAACCCACAGAAAGCCCACUGUUCCAUUUUUCAAUGUGUCGCCUGCUACUACAGUGCCCCAUAUUAAAGCAGAGUUGAGCACUUCUUUAAAUAAAUGCUUUGGGAAGGCUGCAGCUUAUGACAAAUUGAUAAGCGUUUAAUAUGGAGAGUGACAGAAGGUUACGGAUGAGGCUACCUGUGUCAUUAUCUCUCAACAUGUACGGAAUGAGCAUGCAUUCUCUCCUGACAAAAGGAAAAAGGGAGAAUCUCUCAAACCUAGUGUUUUGAAACUGGGUUUCUGCAAAACACUUGCAUUAAAACAUGACCACAGGACAUCUUUGCUAUGUGUCAGGGUCUCCAGAUUUUAACUGAGAUUCUCUGGGUCAAACUAGAUGGUACUUUAACGACAGAGUUGAAUCUCAUGCUUUGGCUUCCCUACCUAUAGCUUGUUCUUUAAACAAAUGGUGGCCACCCACCAAUGCUGCUAUUUGCACCUGAAACUGCAAAUAGCAGCCUGGGGAAAGUGGAAUGGGGGGGGGGAUAAAACUUCUCCUCUUACACAAUUGUCCCAACUCAGAUCAGGGCCCCCACUAAGCUACUUUUGAAAAAUGCAGAUCUUGAGUAUGGAAUUCACACACCCCAUUAAUGUAAUGUCUAAUUUGCCCCUGUGGUGUCCAAAGAGGCAGGGGAGUGACCCAGGAAAGGGGACCAGUGAUUUAUGGAGUGUCACACCACCUGCAAGGCAGGAGUCAGGGGAGGAGGGAGAGUCAGGGCAGUCUGAGGCAGAGGAGGGUGCCCAGUAUGUAGUAGAGGAAGGAGGAGGGAUGGUUCAGUCAUGGUUCAGUAGAAUCCCCACCUUUCCCCACCAUAAAGUCUCUUAGAACCAGGAGGGGCUUGAAAAGGGAAGAGCAGCAACAACUUCCAUGCAGUGGGCUGGGGGAAGGUGGAUUCUCAGCCUCUGUUUGUUGUGUUUAGGCACAGCGGGUGGUGGUGGUGGGAGACCCCCUUAUACUGGGAGGAGAUGGGGGAACAAGACUUUGCAGUUACUCCCCUCCUGACCGAUAGCAUGCUUGGGUGCAAGACGAGGGGUUAAUUCUCGGUGCUUCUUUGGAAGCUGCAUGCAAAGGAACACUCUGCACCAUGUAGGAUUGAUACAUUAGCACAGCACUUGUUAAGCAGAGUUAUUGAUUCUACUGGGUGCUGCUUUGCAAGCAACCUUUCUGUGGGGAAGCCUCUUGCAAAGGAGAAUGCCGCACCGCAGGACCAAGCCAAUGCUUCUGUUCAGCAGAGUCAUUGAUCCUGCCAGGUGCUGCUUCAGGGAUGGGGUGUCAGGCAAGAUGGAAAGUCAGUUCCUACCUUCUCCUGGGAAGAUGCAACUGGCAAUCAGGUAGCCCUCUGGCCUUUUUACAGGCUUUCCCACCCAAUGCCUGCCUCUCCUUCAUGCCUAAUAUGCUGACAGCCAAGGAUUGCUCUGGGCCACCCAAGCUAUUGAGCAGUGAUCCAUGGCUAUCUCAACAGAUACUAGAAUCCCCUGAAUAUUCACUGAGCCUUUCUAAUGAUCAAAAUUGCUCUAUGUUUACUGAGGGAUAACUCGAUAACCUGUAUCAUCCUGUCAAAUGGUAAAGUUGGGUUUUCCCCCCCAUACAUGAGACAGAUCUGCGGUAUCAACAGUCAUCUACAGCCACACAAGAGCUCUUCUUGGGUGUCAGUUGCAAAUGUGUGAAGGUGAGUGGUGUGUGUGUGCUGCUAAGCCCUGCCCUGUCUGAUGCAUCAUCUGCUCACACUUUGGAGACCUCCAUGAGGGUCUGAGGGUAAAGACCUGAAGUGAGGGUCCCCUCCCCUUUUCAUAGACACCGAUGAAAAUAGCUGGGCCACCUACAUAAAAGUGCUUCUACUUCCUUUCUUGUAGAAUACUUGACAUGCGUCAUCAAAAGACUGCGUUCUGCUCUUGGUGGCAUGGCUGAUUAUUUCAGAAGGAUAAAUACUGUUCUUGGAAUGUCAUUGUCUUAAGAUGUCAUUAUCAUGCAAGGAGGGAUUGCUGUCAGCAAGCUGAACUUUAUCUUCUCCUUGAAGUCACACUGUCUCAGAACACAUGGCACAAUGUGAAAGACACUGGUGUAAUGAAAUAUUUCCAGGACAUAUGUUAUGUAAAUAUUGCCCUCUAAAUAAAUUGUCAUCUUCAGAACAUUGCUUUUGUGUCAGACAUGUAAACUCAAAUGAUACAUCUGUCUGCUGAUUUACAACACUAUGAUAUGGUACAUGGUUUUUUUAAAAAAAUAAAAAAUUAAAAUUAUUACAUUAGAAUAAAAGGUUUUCUGGUUUGUUGUCUGCAUUAAAAUCUAGCAUUUCCUCCUUGUCUGUUCUGUUAAUUAAAUUGAGAUUUUAAUUAUUGCACACAGUAUCCUGCUUUGUGUGUGGCUGCUUAGCUAUAGGACUGUACACAUGAUUAUAAAACAAAACCACUCCAGCCAAUGCUACUCAUUACUGAAAAUGUUUAAACUGAAAGAAUAUGAUAAUAUAGAUUAAUUUAAUAAAAAACUGCAUUCAGUUUUUACUGUACUGCAGAUAUCUGCAGCAACCA
Long non-coding RNA from Podarcis muralis (Common wall lizard), 2893 nucleotides. The record is from Ensembl. Lineage: Eukaryota; Metazoa; Chordata; Lepidosauria; Squamata; Lacertidae.